Molecule: ribosomal RNA, 159 nt
Filed under: Hyphoderma setigerum
Lineage: Eukaryota; Fungi; Basidiomycota; Agaricomycetes; Polyporales; Hyphodermataceae
Description: 5.8S ribosomal RNA
Rfam family: 5.8S ribosomal RNA
About the family: 5.8S ribosomal RNA (5.8S rRNA) is a component of the large subunit of the eukaryotic ribosome. It is transcribed by RNA polymerase I as part of the 45S precursor that also contains 18S and 28S rRNA.
Source: RNAcentral
AUACAACUUUCAGCAACGGAUCUCUUGGCUCUCGCAUCGAUGAAGAACGCAGCGAAAUGCGAUAAGUAAUGUGAAUUGCAGAAUUCAGUGAAUCAUCGAAUCUUUGAACGCACCUUGCACUCCUUGGUAUUCCGAGGAGUAUGCCUGUUUGAGUGUCAU